UCGUUAGUUAUAAUUAAUAAUGUCCUACUUUCUAUAGGAAGAAAGAGAUUUUUCUCUACGCAGAG
This 65-nucleotide transfer RNA is filed under the name Osculotes curta. Its description in RNAcentral is "tRNA-Glu". The record is from RNAcentral. Lineage: Eukaryota; Metazoa; Arthropoda; Insecta; Psocodea; Philopteridae.